Sapajus apella (tufted capuchin) is the source of this 449-nucleotide long non-coding RNA. RefSeq lists it as uncharacterized. The record is from RefSeq and is a predicted model, not a curated record. The transcript is spliced from 2 exons. Lineage: Eukaryota; Metazoa; Chordata; Mammalia; Primates; Cebidae.
GCAGAUUGUGGUGGGGCCGAGAGCUGAGCUGAGAACUGAAGGAGUCGUAAGACCUGGCAUGGGAGGAGGGAAGAGGGAGCAUGUGAAGAAGGAACAUCACACAAAGGAUUCAGAAGCAGGAGAGAGUUUGGAGAAGUUGAAGGCGUUCACAAUCCAUCACCUUAAGUGCAAGCACAUCGCUAAGAACUCCGCAAGGAUUAAGAACCAAUAAAAAGGAGGCAACGACUUACUAGAAGAGAUUUACUAGUGGUGGGGGAUUCAAGGAAUCCACUCUCUACUCUGAAAGAAACACGCUCCUUCCAGUCUCUUCUCUGUGGACUGAAAUCCACAGAUGUCCCAGCCAGCCCUCUGCAGUGCAGAUAUAUCCCCCAAAAGACUGGAACCCCGGCGGUAAGGACGCUCAAGCAGUCGCCAUCGGAGAUGCUUUGAAUAAUCAACUUUCUACUAAU